This 257-nucleotide ribosomal RNA is filed under the name uncultured Pseudomonas sp. RNAcentral's name for it is "partial 16S ribosomal RNA". It matches the Rfam family "Bacterial small subunit ribosomal RNA", at positions 96 to 355 of the family's 1533-position model. Lineage: Bacteria; Pseudomonadati; Pseudomonadota; Gammaproteobacteria; Pseudomonadales; Pseudomonadaceae. The record is from RNAcentral.
CGGCGGACGGGUGAGUAAUGCCUAGGAAUCUGCCUGGUAGUGGGGGACAACGUUUCGAAAGGAACGCUAAUACCGCAUACGUCCUACGGGAGAAAGCAGGGGACCUUCGGGCCUUGCGCUAUCAGAUGAGCCUAGGUCGGAUUAGCUAGUUGGUGAGGUAAUGGCUCACCAAGGCGACGAUCCGUAACUGGUCUGAGAGGAUUAUCAGUCACACUGGAACUGAGACACGGUCCAGACUCCUACGGGAGGCAGCAGCA